RNAcentral lists this ribosomal RNA (330 nucleotides) under uncultured eukaryote. RNAcentral's name for it is "partial 18S ribosomal RNA". It matches the Rfam family "Eukaryotic small subunit ribosomal RNA", at positions 1470 to 1796 of the family's 1831-position model. The record is from RNAcentral.
CCCUUAGAUGUUCUGGGCCGCACGCGCGCUACACUGAUGCAUUCAACGAGUCUAAAACCUGCUCUGAUAGGGGUGGGUAAUCUUUUGAAUGUGCAUCGUGAUUGGGAUAGAUGAUUGCAAUUUUUCAUCUUCAACGAGGAAUGCCUAGUAAACGCAAGUCAUCAGCUUGCAUUGAUUACGUCCCUGCCCUUUGUGCACACCGCCCGUCGCUCCUACCGAUUGAAUGAUCCGAUGAAUAUCAUAGACUGAGAGUAUAAGCAGGUUCGCCUGUCUUUGCUUCUCGGGAAGUGAAGUAAAUCUUAUCAUUUAGAGGAAGGAGAAGUCGUAACA